CAGAAAUAUAUGGUGAAUAUUUGCUCUUCAAAGAUUAGUCAUAGUUAGAGGUUGCCUAGAUCAGAAGUCAGCGCAGCUCUUGUCGUCAGAAAAACACAUACACACGCAUAAUUGUUGCAUACAAAACCAAAGCAUUUCAGGCAGGUAAAAGGUAAGCCUUUUAGGUCUAGGCUUUCCAAAAAGAAAUGCGGCCAUCUUCCUAGGGAACCCAUCAAGGUAUUUAGCAAUUUAUACUGUUGGGAAAGUCUUUCUUUAAAAUAAACAGAAUGUCUAUGCUUCAAGUGUAUUUCCUCAUGUUCUAGUCUUAGCAGAGUUCAAGUACAGUUGGUUGCCACCCUCUGAAUAAUACUUCUUCAAAUAUUGGAGGAUUUACAGCAGCUUCCUCUCACUCUUCUCUUCUCCAGGACAAAUCAUCUCAGUGCCUUUAACCUCUGCAGAGCAUGCUGGAAUGCUCUGAUUCUAUUAAAGUGCUUGGCACCCCACGGACCUUAAUAAAAUACUCUGGAUAUACUGGCUAACGGGUUGACUUUUGCCAUAGAUCUUAUUUCCCAAACUUCUAAACAUGCCUGUAGCUUUCCUGUCCAAGUUCAAAUAUAGUAUAACACAUCACAAGUGCUGAGAAGCAGGAAGUCCAUCGCUGAAUCUGGCACUACAGUCCUGAGUGGAAAAUACCAUUUGUUUCCUUGACAAUCUCUCCUUGGUAACUGGACAAAGUGGGGAGCCAAGGGUUAAUGAUACGGUGGAAGAGCCUUGACACCCUACCAGUUCUCAGAGGACAGGGAAGGGUGGCAGUGACUGGAAACUGCUUAAAUUCCUAGCGCUGUUCAACAGGAAGUUGGAGAAAAGGUCUAAAGGUCUAAUGGCCUCAUAAUUAAGGGCUUCUUCUACUCCACAAGUUUAUAAUCAGGAGUUGUCCUGCAGGAAGAAAAGCAAAGGACACAACAAAUGAGAAAGUCACUUUUGCGUUGAGAAUUGGCUAGCCUAGAGGAUGGAAGGCAGAAGACCUUUCCAACACGUUAAGAGCCAAAAGACUACCUUUUAGUGUUUGUUUUGAUUAUAUUUGCCUGUAACCCAGCAACUGGGCCCAGAUGCCAGGAGCCCAAAGAGAACACUGCUGAUGACUGGUGUAUGGAAAGAAAAAGAAUUCCUUUUGUUUUCUUACUUUUAUGGUUCUUCUCAAGAUAUACAGAAAAAGGAGAAUACAAAGCAGGUCCUUCUUGAUCAUCUUUGUAACCAGGAUAGGCCAGUUGGAUGUGGUGGAAAUUGCAUGAAGAGGAAUUGAGUAGGUCUGGAUCGUCAAUAACUUGAACACGGCUGAUCCAGAAGCUAGACCAAGGAACACUGGUGGUCUCUAUACAAUUCACAGAAAACUGAAGUGGAAUAAAAUGUCCCCCCUUUGCUGUCGCUUAGUUAUUUCUAUUUAUUAUAACAUUUCCUGCACUGAAUAGAUUUUUCUGAGCAUACACAACUGUUUCUUCAAUUUGAGAUACCAAUAAACAGC
RNAcentral lists this long non-coding RNA (1501 nucleotides) under Equus caballus (horse). RNAcentral describes it as "lncRNA (ENSECAG00000039070.3)". Lineage: Eukaryota; Metazoa; Chordata; Mammalia; Perissodactyla; Equidae. The record is from RNAcentral.